This 253-nucleotide ribosomal RNA is filed under the name uncultured bacterium. Its description in RNAcentral is "partial 16S ribosomal RNA". It matches the Rfam family "Bacterial small subunit ribosomal RNA", at positions 524 to 776 of the family's 1533-position model. The record is from RNAcentral.
UACGGAGGGGGCUAGCGUUGUUCGGAAUUACUGGGCGUAAAGCGCACGUAGGCGGACUGGAAAGUCAGGGGUGAGAUCCCGGGGCUCAACCCCGGAACUGCCUUUGAAACUCCCGGUCUUGAGGUCGAGAGAGGUGAGUGGAAUUCCGAGUGUAGAGGUGAAAUUCGUAGAUAUUCGGAGGAACACCAGUGGCGAAGGCGGCUCACUGGCUCGAUACUGACGCUGAGGUGCGAAAGCGUGGGGAGUAAACAGU